UACAGAGGUGGCAAGCGUUGUUCGGAAUUACUGGGCGUAAAGGGCGCGUAGGCGGCCUACUAAGUCAGACGUGAAAUCCCUCGGCUUAACCGGGGAACUGCGUCUGAUACUGGAUGGCUUGAGUUCGGGAGAGGGAUGCGGAAUUCCAGGUGUAGCGGUGAAAUGCGUAGAUAUCUGGAGGAACACCGGUGGCGAAGGCGGCAUCCUGGACCGACACUGACACUGAGGAGCGAAAGCCAGGGGAGCAAACGGG
This 253-nucleotide ribosomal RNA is filed under the name uncultured bacterium. RNAcentral describes it as "partial 16S ribosomal RNA". It matches the Rfam family "Bacterial small subunit ribosomal RNA", at positions 524 to 776 of the family's 1533-position model. The record is from RNAcentral.